This 75-nucleotide transfer RNA is filed under the name Mus musculus (house mouse). RNAcentral describes it as "tRNA-Ser". The record is from RNAcentral. Lineage: Eukaryota; Metazoa; Chordata; Mammalia; Rodentia; Muridae.
GGCUGGAGAGAUGGCUCAGUGGUUAAGAGCAGUGACUGCUCUUCCAAAGGUCCUGAGUUCAAUUCCCAGCAACCA